This is a long non-coding RNA of Tupaia belangeri chinensis (Chinese tree shrew), 266 nucleotides long. RefSeq lists it as uncharacterized. The transcript has 3 exons. The record is from RefSeq and is a predicted model, not a curated record. Lineage: Eukaryota; Metazoa; Chordata; Mammalia; Scandentia; Tupaiidae.
GAAAAGUUUGGAUGACAUCAGGGGAGAUUUGAAAACCAUCCACCGCACUGCACAGAAAACUCAGUCAUCUGGAGCAGGGGACGAGCUGGGACCUGGAGCCAAGGAACUGGGAUCCUGGAAAAAUGCACGUGUGCCGAGUGCGUUUUUCAAGCUGCAGGGGCUGGAGCUUGCGCCUUGGCCAGCCAGCUCCUGACAAGUUCCAGCGUAUUCUCCAGUUUCUUCUAAAGUCAUCCACAUUCCUUUCAUGCCAGCCCGGACGGCAAUGC